Molecule: ribosomal RNA, 275 nt
Filed under: uncultured bacterium
Lineage: Bacteria
Description: partial 16S ribosomal RNA
Rfam family: Bacterial small subunit ribosomal RNA
Source: RNAcentral
GCGUGAGUGAUGAAGGCCUUCGGGUUGUAAAGCUCUUUUGCCAGGGACGAUGAUGACGGUACCUGGAGAAUAAGCCCCGGCUAACUUCGUGCCAGCAGCCGCGGUAAUACGAAGGGGGCGAGCGUUGUUCGGAAUUACUGGGCGUAAAGGGCGCGUAGGCGGUUUAGCGAGUCAGGCGUGAAAUUCCCGGGCUUAACCUGGGGGCUGCGCUUGAUACUGCUAGGCUUGAAUUCGGGAGAGGAUGGCGGAAUUCCCAGUGUAGAGGUGAAAUUCGU